Molecule: unclassified non-coding RNA, 296 nt
Filed under: fungal sp.
Lineage: Eukaryota; Fungi
Description: partial internal transcribed spacer region
Rfam family: Eukaryotic small subunit ribosomal RNA (bases 1-46)
Source: RNAcentral
AAGUCGUAACAAGGUUUCCGUAGGUGAACCUGCGGAAGGAUCAUUACCAAAUCCAAAUUCAAACCCCAUGUGAACUAUUGUAUAGUCUGUCUUUGGGAGAGAAAGAAAAUUAAAACAUUUGAAAUUAAAACCUUCACUUUUUUUUUUUGGAUUUUUCUCCCAAUAGAGUCCGGCGCAAUUUUAUUGUUGUGUCCAGAUUCGAAACCCCUUUUAAACCACUUGAUUUUUCUGUUGGAAUUAACUUUUAUUAAUUUUAAAUAAAAGACAACUUUUAACGGCGGAUCUCUUGGCUCGUG